Non-coding RNA from Acanthosepion pharaonis, 109 nucleotides. NCBI's taxonomy places the organism in Eukaryota, Metazoa, Mollusca, Cephalopoda, Sepiida, Sepiidae. The record is from the annotation of a GenBank genome assembly.
GGUCAUAUCACAUUGAAAUAGCGGUCCCCGUACGAUCACCGAAGUUAAGCAACGUCGAGCCUGGUCAGUACUUAGAUGGGUGACAUCUUGGGAAUACCAGGUGCUGUAG